GACGAACGCUGGCGGCGUGCUUAACACAUGCAAGUCGAACGGAAAGGCCCUGCUUUUGUGGGGUGCUCGAGUGGCGAACGGGUGAGUAACACGUGAGUAACCUGCCCUUGACUUUGGGAUAACUUCAGGAAACUGGGGCUAAUACCGGAUAGGAGCUCCUGCUGCAUGGUGGGGGUUGGAAAGUUUCGGCGGUUGGGGAUGGACUCGCGGCUUAUCAGCUUGUUGGUGGGGUAGUGGCUUACCAAGGCUUUGACGGGUAGCCGGCCUGAGGGGGUGACCGGCAACAUGGGACUGAGGAACCGGCCAGAACCCUUCGGGGGGGAAGAGGGGGGAAUAUUGCACAAUGGGCGGAAGCCUGAUGCAGCAACGCCGCGUGCGGGAUGACGGCCUUCGGGUUGUAAACCGCUUUCGCCUGUGACGAAGCGUGAGUGACGGUAAUGGGUAAAGAAGCACCGGCUAACUACGUG
Molecule: ribosomal RNA, 467 nt
Filed under: uncultured bacterium
Lineage: Bacteria
Description: partial 16S ribosomal RNA
Rfam family: Bacterial small subunit ribosomal RNA
Source: RNAcentral